This 197-nucleotide ribosomal RNA is filed under the name uncultured bacterium. RNAcentral describes it as "partial 16S ribosomal RNA". It matches the Rfam family "Bacterial small subunit ribosomal RNA", at positions 326 to 539 of the family's 1533-position model. The record is from RNAcentral.
ACGUUCGACACCUACGGAGGCAGCAGUGGGGAAUAUUGCACAAUGGGGGAAACCCUGAUGCAGCGACGCCGCGUGGAGGAAGAAGGUCUUCGGAUUGUAAACUCCUGUUGUUGGGGAAAAAGAGGAUGGUACCCAACAAGGAAGUGACGGCUAACUACGUGCUAGCAGCCGCGGUAAUCUGAGCGGGCUGGCAAGGC